This 471-nucleotide ribosomal RNA is filed under the name uncultured bacterium. Its description in RNAcentral is "partial 16S ribosomal RNA". It matches the Rfam family "Bacterial small subunit ribosomal RNA", at positions 29 to 507 of the family's 1533-position model. The record is from RNAcentral.
ACGAACGCUGGCGGCGUGCUUAACACAUGCAAGUCGAACGCUGAAGCUUGGUGCUUGCACUGGGUGGAUGAGUGGCGAACGGGUGAGUAAUACGUGAGUAGCCUGCCCUUGACUCUGGGAUAAGCCUGGGAAACUGGGUCUAAUACUGGAUACGACAUGUCACCGCAUGGUGGUGUGUGGAAAGGGUUUUACUGGUUUUGGAUGGGCUCACGGCCUAUCAGCUUGUUGGUGGGGUAAUGGCUCACCAAGGCGACGACGGGUAGCCGGCCUGAGAGGGUGACCGGCCACACUGGGACUGAGACACGGCCCAGACUCCUACGGGAGGCAGCAGUGGGGAAUAUUGCACAAUGGGCGGAAGCCUGAUGCAGCGACGCCGCGUGAGGGAUGACGGCCUUCGGGUUGUAAACCUCUUUCAGCACGGAAGAAGCGAAAGUGACGGUACGUGCAGAAGAAGCGCCGGCUAACUACGUG